RNAcentral lists this ribosomal RNA (744 nucleotides) under Salmonella enterica subsp. enterica serovar Monophasic. RNAcentral describes it as "partial 23S ribosomal RNA". It matches the Rfam family "Bacterial large subunit ribosomal RNA", at positions 1918 to 2661 of the family's 2925-position model. Lineage: Bacteria; Pseudomonadati; Pseudomonadota; Gammaproteobacteria; Enterobacterales; Enterobacteriaceae. The record is from RNAcentral.
CCCCGGUAAACGGCGGCCGUAACUAUAACGGUCCUAAGGUAGCGAAAUUCCUUGUCGGGUAAGUUCCGACCUGCACGAAUGGCGUAAUGAUGGCCAGGCUGUCUCCACCCGAGACUCAGUGAAAUUGAACUCGCUGUGAAGAUGCAGUGUACCCGCGGCAAGACGGAAAGACCCCGUGAACCUUUACUAUAGCUUGACACUGAACAUUGAGCCUUGAUGUGUAGGAUAGGUGGGAGGCUUUGAAGUGUGGACGCCAGUCUGCAUGGAGCCGACCUUGAAAUACCACCCUUUAAUGUUUGAUGUUCUAACGUGGACCCGUAAUCCGGGUUGCGGACAGUGUCUGGUGGGUAGUUUGACUGGGGCGGUCUCCUCCUAAAGAGUAACGGAGGAGCACGAAGGUUGGCUAAUCCUGGUCGGACAUCAGGAGGUUAGUGCAAUGGCAUAAGCCAGCUUGACUGCGAGCGUGACGGCGCGAGCAGGUGCGAAAGCAGGUCAUAGUGAUCCGGUGGUUCUGAAUGGAAGGGCCAUCGCUCAACGGAUAAAAGGUACUCCGGGGAUAACAGGCUGAUACCGCCCAAGAGUUCAUAUCGACGGCGGUGUUUGGCACCUCGAUGUCGGCUCAUCACAUCCUGGGGCUGAAGUAGGUCCCAAGGGUAUGGCUGUUCGCCAUUUAAAGUGGUACGCGAGCUGGGUUUAGAACGUCGUGAGACAGUUCGGUCCCUAUCUGCCGUGGGCGCUGGAGAA